RNAcentral lists this ribosomal RNA (442 nucleotides) under uncultured bacterium. RNAcentral's name for it is "partial 16S ribosomal RNA". It matches the Rfam family "Bacterial small subunit ribosomal RNA", at positions 338 to 795 of the family's 1533-position model. The record is from RNAcentral.
CCUACGGGGGGCUGCAGUAGGGAAUCUUUCACAAUGGGCGAAAGCCUGAUGGAGCAACGCCGCGUGCAGGAUGAAGGCCUUCGGGUUGUAAACUGCUUUUAUAAGCGAGAAAUAUGAUGGUAACUUAUGAAUAAGGAUCGGCUAACUACGGGCCAGCAGCCGCGGUCAUACGUAGGAUCCGAGCAUUAUCCGGAGUGACUGUGUGUAAAGAGUUGCGUAGGUGGCAUAAUAAGUAGCUAGUGAAAGCUGGUGGCUCAACCAUUCAGACUAUUAGCUAAACUGUUAAGCUCGAGACCGUUAGGGGUAACUGGAAUUGCUAGUGUAGGAGUGAAAUCCGUAGAUAUUAGAAGGAACACCAAUAGCGUAGGCAGGUUGCUGGGACGGUUCUGACACUAAGGCACGAAAGCGUAGGGAGCAAACGGGAUUAGAUACCCGAGUAGUC